This 1174-nucleotide small RNA is filed under the name Pongo abelii (Sumatran orangutan). Its description in RNAcentral is "retained intron". Lineage: Eukaryota; Metazoa; Chordata; Mammalia; Primates; Hominidae. The record is from RNAcentral.
UGGAAAAACGAUAUGGCAGGAGCCAGUCUUGGGGCCCGCUUCUACCGGCAGAUCAAAAGACAUCCCGGGAUCAUCCCGAUGAUCGGCUUAAUCUGCCUGGGCAUGGGCAGCGCUGCGCUCUACUUGCUGCGACUGGCCCUUCGCAGCCCCGACGUCUGGUAAAGGCCGGGCUUGGGAUGCUCACGGGGGCCUGGGUGAGGCAAGAUGGGGUGGAAAUAGGCGGCCCUAGUGGGGAUCCCGUGCCCUGCUGCAUGCACCUUCGACUGUACCGACCGGCAUCUCAGAGCUGGAGCCCACUGCUGACCUGGGAGACCCCCGUAUCCCCUCCAGCCCACCUGGCCGCUCACUCCUCAGCUUGGCCCGCCCUGAAAUGCGGAACCCGCGCCUCUCCCGGCCUGGUUGCCAUGACGACGCCACUCAGCCAGUGCUGGGACAGAAAGAACAACCCAGAGCCCUGGAACCGCCUGAGCCCCAAUGACCAAUACAAGUUCCUUGCAGUUUCCACUGACUAUAAGAAGCUAAAGAAGGACCGGCCAGACUUCUAAGCCAGGCUGGGCUGCCAGUGCCAUGCAAACCACGGACAGCCAGCCCAUCCACUUCUUCCACUCCUCCCCGCAGUCCCCAAGGCAUCAGUCCGGGAACCCUGUCCCGCUCCUGCUUACACAGGCCGGGUUCCCACGCAGAGGGGAGGCUGCUCCACCCCUACUCUCCUCCCUUGCUCCCAGCAGCGGAAGCGCCUCUGACCCUUGGCUUGAGUCCCACGUGGGGGAGGAGAAGGCAGGCAGCACCAGCAGGGGUCCACCAAAAAAGCCCAGACCAGCCCCUCUGCCCUCCUACCCGGGCCUUGAAGGGUGUGGCACAGGCUACAUGUUGAGCGUGGCCUACGUGAGCCAACAAGAAGCAGGGGCCUCUGAGUGCCAAGCGACGUGGCGGGCUCCACGUUAGCCCAGGCUCUGGGAGCCAGCCCAGGGGCGGCGCUGCUCAGCUUGGGCUGGUCCAGGGCCUGCCCAGGCUGGGGCACCUUUGCCUCCCGAGGCGCAGUGCACUCCUCCCCUGCCCAAGCCUACUGCCUCCCCCUGCCGCCAGUACCCCCUCCAGCCCCAGACCUGGGCCUCCCCUCUGUCCCCAGGGAUCAAACAGAAGCAGCCGUGGGCAAAAUACAAUUUCAUUUAGC